Homo sapiens (human) is the source of this 606-nucleotide long non-coding RNA. Ensembl annotates it as long intergenic non-protein coding RNA 1151. Lineage: Eukaryota; Metazoa; Chordata; Mammalia; Primates; Hominidae. The record is from Ensembl.
AGGUUGGGAGUUGCUGCCAUGGAGACCACAAGAGUGGAGAUUUUCUGACACACAGAAAGGAAUGGAUUACAGCUCCUUCUUAUGUAAAUUUCCAUGGAGGGGAAAAAAGAUUAAAAGGAAAAUAAUUCUGCUUUAGUCGUUUUCCUUUAAGGUGAUAAGAUCCUUUGAUUCCAUCGUGGAGAAGAAGGCAACAGCUGUUUGUCACAAAUGAUGGGAAAUGUGCCAACGUCACAACAAGGUUUGAGGGAGGCACAUCUCAUGCUCGGACAUGAACACCCGAUCAUCAUGCUUAUGAACUACAAAAGGAUCUCCAGUAUGGGCUCACGGCAGUUGGCCCUUGAAUAACAUGAAUUUGAACUGCCUGAGUCUGCUAAUAUGUGGAUUAUCUUCUGCUUCUGCACCCUGAGACAGCAAGACCAACCCUUCCUCUUGCUUCUUUUCCUUAGCCUAUUCAACGUGAAGAUGACUAAGGUGAGGACACAAUAGGAUGACCAUCAGCAAACCAGGAAUAAUGCCCUCAACAGACAUCUGAUCUGCUGACACCUUGAUCUUGGACUUCUAAUUCUGCAGAACUGUGAGAAAUAAAUAACUGUUUUUAAAAACCAU